CCUGAGCUAAUACCGCAUAACACUUACGAGUCAAAGCAGCAAUGCGCUUGGAGAGGAGUUCGCGGCAGAUUAGUUAGUUGGCGGGGUAAUGGCCCACCAAGACGAUGAUCUGUAUCCGGCCUGAGAGGGCGCACGGACACACUGGAACUGAAACACGGUCCAGACUCCUACGGGAGGCAGCAGUGGGGAAUUUUGCGCAAUGGGGGAAACCCUGACGCAGCAACGCCGCGUGGAGGAUGAAAUCCCUUGGGAUGUAAACUCCUUUCGAUCGGGACGAUUAUGACGGUACCGGAAGAAGAAGCCCCGGCUAACUUCGUGCCAGUAGCCGCGGUAAUACGAGGGGGGCAAGCGUUGUUCGGAAUUAUUGGGCGUAAAGGGUGCGUAGGCGGUUUGAUAAGUCUUGUGUGAAAUCUCUGGGCUCAACCCAGAGUCUGCACAGGAAACUGUCGGGCUUGAGUAUGGGAGAGGUGAGUGGAAUUUCCGGUGUAGCGGUGAAAUGCGUAGAUAUCGGAAGGAACACCUGUGGCGAAAGCGGCUCACUGGACCAUUACUGACGCUGAUGCACGAAAGCUAGGGGAGCAAACAGGAUUAGAUACCCUGGUAGUCCUAG
RNAcentral lists this ribosomal RNA (610 nucleotides) under uncultured Acidobacteriota bacterium. RNAcentral's name for it is "bacterial SSU rRNA". It matches the Rfam family "Bacterial small subunit ribosomal RNA", at positions 157 to 799 of the family's 1533-position model. The record is from RNAcentral. Lineage: Bacteria; Pseudomonadati; Acidobacteriota.